GCGGACCGGUAGUUCAGUUGGUUAGAAUGCCGGCCUGUCACGCCGGAGGUCGCG
This 54-nucleotide transfer RNA is filed under the name Cobetia sp. Its description in RNAcentral is "tRNA-Asp". It matches the Rfam family "tRNA", at positions 1 to 49 of the family's 71-position model. From Rfam's summary of the family: Transfer RNA (tRNA) molecules are approximately 80 nucleotides in length. Their secondary structure includes four short double-helical elements and three loops (D, anti-codon, and T loops). Further hydrogen bonds mediate the characteristic L-shaped molecular structure. tRNAs have two regions of fundamental functional importance: the anti-codon, which is responsible for specific mRNA codon recognition, and the 3' end, to which the tRNAs corresponding amino acid is attached (by aminoacyl-tRNA synthetases). tRNAs cope with the degeneracy of the genetic code in two manners: having more than one tRNA (with a specific anti-codon) for a particular amino acid; and 'wobble' base-pairing, i.e. permitting non-standard base-pairing at the 3rd anti-codon position. The record is from RNAcentral. Lineage: Bacteria; Pseudomonadati; Pseudomonadota; Gammaproteobacteria; Oceanospirillales; Halomonadaceae.